AGAGAAUCCAUCAGCAGCUACACGUCUUCCCUCAGUGCUGCCUUCAAGUCUGCCACUUGUCUUUGACAAUGACUACAAACUGCCAGAGGAGGCAGUAGAGGGCACCAGCAAGUGUCCAGUUGCCAGUGAAGCAGCCGCUUCCGUGUCCACUGUCCUCCAAGAGGAGUUUUUGGCUGGUAAAAGUCCUCCUGCACCCGCAGCACUGCCUCUAAGGCUGCCCUGUACCCACAGCAUUGACCACAAACAGCUAUGGGAGACAGUUGAGGACAACACAGAGCGCUUAGUUGACACAGAGGAAAGUGCAGUUUCAUCCACUGUCAAGAGAGAGGAACUGAUAGGUGAUAAAAACCCUGUCCUAGCACUUCAUCCAAGCCUGGCAUGCAUCCAUGACAAAGACCACAAUGAUCCAAAUCAGAAAGGGAGGGGCACUACUAAGGAGGUGUAUCUCUGCACUCACGCUCACCAGCUGGACCCAGAUGCUAACUUAACUCUGUCAACCCACAAUGAUGAACCCAGGACCUGGACCCUGGAAGAGACAAAGGAUUAUUGGAUAGGCAUUGACAUUGAGAGUGAAGAGAGGAGCGUCCAGGAGGAGGUGAGACCGAGGGAGGGGUUGAAGUGUGAUGCGGACUGUGCCCAUUCCAAGAGCUCCAAUGGGAUGGUUUCAUCAGAGAGAGCAGAGACCAUCCUGGGAAGAGUGGGCUUUCUGGUCAGGAACCACAUGCAGAAAAUCCCAUUUUUGAAGAUGGAUAGAAAAGGGGAAAGUAAGAAACUGAAUAAGAAGUUGAAAGAUGACGAGAAAGAGAGAAAGGAGAUGAAAAACAAGGAGGAGGAGCAAAAAAAGAGGGAGAAGAAAGAGAUGAAAGAGAGAGAGAAAGAGCAGAAGAAAGUCAUGAAGGCUGAGAAAAAGAGGG
Molecule: long non-coding RNA, 914 nt
Filed under: Salmo salar (Atlantic salmon)
Lineage: Eukaryota; Metazoa; Chordata; Actinopteri; Salmoniformes; Salmonidae
Description: lncRNA (ENSSSAG00000102320.1)
Source: RNAcentral